RNAcentral lists this ribosomal RNA (516 nucleotides) under uncultured Streptomyces sp. Its description in RNAcentral is "bacterial SSU rRNA". It matches the Rfam family "Bacterial small subunit ribosomal RNA", at positions 144 to 673 of the family's 1533-position model. Lineage: Bacteria; Bacillati; Actinomycetota; Actinomycetes; Kitasatosporales; Streptomycetaceae. The record is from RNAcentral.
CAAGCCCUGGAAACGGGGUCUAAUACCGGAUACUACUGCCGGCCGUAUGGUCUGGUGGUGGAAAGCUCCGGCGGUGCAGGAUGAGCCCGCGGCCUAUCAGCUUGUUGGUGGGGUGAUGGCCUACCAAGGCGACGACGGGUAGCCGGCCUGAGAGGGCGACCGGCCACACUGGGACUGAGACACGGCCCAGACUCCUACGGGAGGCAGCAGUGGGGAAUAUUGCACAAUGGGCGAAAGCCUGAUGCAGCGACGCCGCGUGAGGGAUGACGGCCUUCGGGUUGUAAACCUCUUUCAGCAGGGAAGAAGCGAAAGUGACGGUACCUGCAGAAGAAGCACCGGCUAACUACGUGCCAGCAGCCGCGGUAAUACGUAGGGUGCGAGCGUUGUCCGGAAUUAUUGGGCGUAAAGAGCUCGUAGGCGGCGUGUCACGUCGGAUGUGAAAGCCCGGGGCUUAACCCCGGGUCUGCAUUCGAUACGGGCAGGCUAGAGUUCGGUAGGGGAGAUCGGAAUUCCUGG